RNAcentral lists this unclassified non-coding RNA (377 nucleotides) under uncultured Corynebacteriaceae bacterium. Its description in RNAcentral is "contains 16S-23S intergenic spacer region". Lineage: Bacteria; Bacillati; Actinomycetota; Actinomycetes; Mycobacteriales; Corynebacteriaceae. The record is from RNAcentral.
UCCGAGUUAACCCCGGCAGUCUCUCAUGAGUCCCCAACCAAAUGCUGGCAACAUAAGACAAGGGUUGCGCUCGUUGCGGGACUUAACCCAACAUCUCACGACACGAGCUGACGACAACCAUGCACCACCUGUACACCAACCACAAAGGGAAACUACAUCUCUGCAGCGAUCUGAUGUAUGUCAAGCCCAGGUAAGGUUCUUCGCGUUGCAUCGAAUUAAUCCACAUGCUCCGCCGCUUGUGCGGGCCCCCGUCAAUUCCUUUGAGUUUUAGCCUUGCGGCCGUACUCCCCAGGCGGGGCGCUUAAUGCGUUAGCUACGGCACGAAAGUCGUAGAAAGACCCUCACACCUAGCGCCCACCGUUUACGGCAUGGACUAC